RNAcentral lists this ribosomal RNA (505 nucleotides) under uncultured bacterium. RNAcentral's name for it is "partial 16S ribosomal RNA". It matches the Rfam family "Bacterial small subunit ribosomal RNA", at positions 28 to 507 of the family's 1533-position model. The record is from RNAcentral.
GACGAACGCUGGCGGCGUGCCUAAUACAUGCAAGUCGAACGCACAGUUUAUACCGUAGCUUGCUACACCAUAGACUGUGAGUUGCGAACGGGUGAGUAACGCGUAGGUAACCUGCCUGGUAGCGGGGGAUAACUAUUGGAAACGAUAGCUAAUACCGCAUAAUAUUAAUUAUUGCAUGAUAAUUAAUUGAAAGGUGCAAUUGCACCACUACCAGAUGGACCUGCGUUGUAUUAGCUAGUAGGUGAGGUAACGGCUCACCUAGGCGACGAUACAUAGCCGACCUGAGAGGGUGAUCGGCCACACUGGGACUGAGACACGGCCCAGACUCCUACGGGAGGCAGCAGUAGGGAAUCUUCGGCAAUGGACGAAAGUCUGACCGAGCAACGCCGCGUGAGGGAAGAAGGUUUUCGGAUCGUAAAGCUCUGUUGUAAGAGAAGAACGGGUGUGAGAGUGGAAAGUUCACACUGUGACGGUAUCUGACCAGAAAGGGACGGCUAACUACGUG